UUUCCGUAGGUGUACCUGCGGAAGGAUCAUUAUUGUAUAACCGAGGUGCGAGGGCUGUCGCUGACCCGAAAGGUCGUGCACGCCCGAGUGCCCUCACACACAUCCAUCUCACCCCUAUGUGCACCACCGCGUGGGUCCCCCUUUGGCUUGUUCGGAGGGGGGCUUACGUUUUCACACAAACUUUGUAUGCAGUGUAGAAUGUAUUUUUUGUUUUUGCGAUCACGCAAUCAAUACAACUUUCAACAACGGAUCUCUUGGCUCUC
RNAcentral lists this unclassified non-coding RNA (263 nucleotides) under plant metagenome. RNAcentral describes it as "partial contains small subunit ribosomal RNA, internal transcribed spacer 1, and 5.8S ribosomal RNA". The record is from RNAcentral.